GUUUCUGCCAGACAACACCGCUCUGAAACAAGAAGACACAUCAGGUCAGAGGGACUCGGUCAACGAGUCAGACACUCAAUCAACAAGUCAGAGACACUAAACCAUCAGGUCAGAGGGACUCGGUCAACGAGUCAGAGACACUAAACCAUCAGGUCAGAGGGACUCGGUCAACGAGUCACAGACACUCAAUCAACAAGUCAGAGACAUUAAACCAUCAGGUCAGAGGGACUCGGUCAAAGAGUCACAGACAUUAAACCAUCAGGUCAGAGGGACUCGGUCAAAGAGUCACAGACAUUAAACCAUCAGGUCAGAGGGACUCGGUCAUCAGGUCAGAGACACGUGGUCAACAGGUCAGAGGGACGCGGUCAACAGGUCAGAGACACUCAGUUAUCAGGUCAGAGGGACUUGUUCAUCAUGUCAGAGAUAAUAAACCAUCAGGUCAAACAUAAUGAAUCAUCAGGUCAGAGGGACUCGGUCAACGGUCAGAGACACUAAACUAUCAGGUCAGAGGGACUCGGUCAAUGAGUCAGAGACACUAAACCAACAGGUCAGACAUUAUAAAUCAUCAGGUCAGAGGGACUUGGUCAUCAGGUCAGAGAUGAUAAACCAUCAGGUCAGACAUAAUAAAUCAUCAGGUCAGAGACACUCAGUUAUCAGGUCAGAGGGACGUGGUCAACAGGUCAGAGACACUCAGUUAUCAGGUCAGAGGGACGUGGUCAACAGGUCAGAGACACUAAAUCAUCUGGUCAGAGGGACUCGGUCAUCAGGUCAGACAGCUCACUGUUUUUCUCCAUUUUAACGAUAAUAUUUUAGAACCCAGUCAGAGUCCAGAAACAUUAAAUCUAAAGGAAACACUUGAACAAGUCCCAGGAUUAAAGAAUAAAACAGAACCUUUAUUGUAUCCAGGAUUAAAGAAUAGAACAGAACCUUUAUUGUACCCAGGAUUAAAGAAUAGAACAGAACCUUUAUUGUACCCAGGAUUAAAGAAUAAAACAGAACCUUUAUUGUAUCCAGGAUUAAAGAAUAGAACAGAACCUUUAUUGUACCCAGGAUUAAAGAAUGGAACAGAACCUUUAUUGUACCCAGGAUUAAAG
This is a long non-coding RNA of Austrofundulus limnaeus, 1094 nucleotides long. RefSeq lists it as uncharacterized. The record is from RefSeq and is a predicted model, not a curated record. NCBI's taxonomy places the organism in Eukaryota, Metazoa, Chordata, Actinopteri, Cyprinodontiformes, Rivulidae. The transcript has 2 exons.